CGGGGGAGCCCCGCGGCCCCUCACCUGGCCCCCCACACGGCGCCCCCAAGAUCUGGAGGGCUCCGGAGCCACGGAAGCAGCUCUGUCGAGGACAGGCGGGCGCCCCGGAGGAGGGGCGCAGGCAGCCCAAAAUGCGGCCCUCGCUGCCCUUGUUGCCCAGCCCGCCCAGCUAUGGAAAACAAAAGUUGUGCAAAGCGGCGCCUUCGUGGAUUCGCUCGGCGAGCAGUCAGAGAGGGUCCCGUCGGUCCCAGAUAUCGCCCUGGGCGCGCUGGGCAUGCGGCUGUAGCAAGGGCAUGCCCUGGCCCUGAGGGACCUCGUUGGACCCUGGACGGAGCCCCAGCCCUGGGGACGCUCAGGCAGGUGCCGCGUCCGGAGGGGGAGACGCUGCAAAAAAGGACCGGGAGUUCGUGUUGGCAGAUGGCCGCCUUGUUUGAAACCGAGGCUAGGUGUGUAUGUGUCACUGUAUAAGCGUUUGUCAUCUUGUGAACGGGGCUGUGCUACUCAUUGGAAUCACCAUCUUGUAGGAUCACCGCCCAUUGGCAAAGGCUGUCAUAUCACGUCGAGCAGAAACUCAGCCCUCCUUCAGCAAGAACUUCUGUCUCCCCCUCUCACUGGUCACCACUAAUAAACUUUGUUUCCGG
This is a long non-coding RNA of Echinops telfairi (small Madagascar hedgehog), 641 nucleotides long. RefSeq lists it as uncharacterized. The record is from RefSeq and is a predicted model, not a curated record. NCBI's taxonomy places the organism in Eukaryota, Metazoa, Chordata, Mammalia, Afrosoricida, Tenrecidae. The transcript has 2 exons.